RNAcentral lists this transfer RNA (72 nucleotides) under Saccoglossus kowalevskii. Its description in RNAcentral is "tRNA-Glu". It matches the Rfam family "tRNA". Rfam says of the family: Transfer RNA (tRNA) molecules are approximately 80 nucleotides in length. Their secondary structure includes four short double-helical elements and three loops (D, anti-codon, and T loops). Further hydrogen bonds mediate the characteristic L-shaped molecular structure. tRNAs have two regions of fundamental functional importance: the anti-codon, which is responsible for specific mRNA codon recognition, and the 3' end, to which the tRNAs corresponding amino acid is attached (by aminoacyl-tRNA synthetases). tRNAs cope with the degeneracy of the genetic code in two manners: having more than one tRNA (with a specific anti-codon) for a particular amino acid; and 'wobble' base-pairing, i.e. permitting non-standard base-pairing at the 3rd anti-codon position. Lineage: Eukaryota; Metazoa; Hemichordata; Enteropneusta; Harrimaniidae. The record is from RNAcentral.
UCCCAUAUGGUCUUGUGGUUAGGAUUUGGCGCUUUCACCGCCAAGGCCCCGGUUCAAUUCCCGGAUUGGGAA